Gymnogyps californianus (California condor) is the source of this 652-nucleotide long non-coding RNA. RefSeq lists it as uncharacterized. Lineage: Eukaryota; Metazoa; Chordata; Aves; Accipitriformes; Cathartidae. The transcript has 3 exons. The record is from RefSeq and is a predicted model, not a curated record.
GACCGGACUGAGCUCCAGCGCGCACCGACCUAUUGAUCGGGGACUCCUCCGGAUUCCCUCCGAAGCCGGGGCGACAAGCGACUCAAAGGUGCAACGCCAACCAGAGAUAUUUGUAUCAGGGUGAAAGGGGAAUGAAUCCUUGGAUUGUAUGUGGACGAUAUCUUAAUUGGAGCAGAUGAUACAGAACAGACUUGUACAGAAGCCACAGUAAGCCUGCUAAACUUUCUGGGAAUAGCCAGAUUCUGCUGGAUAUGGAUCCCCAAUUUCAGACUUACAACCAAGCCCUUAUACGCAGCCACAAAGGGCCUUGUGGGGAGUUGUUAGAAUGGACUCCAGAGUGUCGGAGUAGUUUUGAUGAAAUUAAAAAAAACGAUGGAAGCUCUCCUCAAGAAGCUACAUGAAGAAACUCACAUGGGAGCCAAUGCUAUGAUAAGCAGUGUUAAGAGAUACGCUGUAGGGCCAAAAAUGCAGACAAAUGCAGAUAUAAUAGCAAAGAGAUGAAACUUGUGUAAAUGAUCCCAAAAUACAAAGAAAGCCACCAGCAGGUGACGUAAAAAGAGGAAUAACCCCUAGGGAAUACUGGCAAAUAGAUUUCUCUGAAUUACCAAAAUGUGGACAACAUAAGUAUCUACUUGUUCUAGUGGAUAUGUUU